Molecule: ribosomal RNA, 465 nt
Filed under: Vreelandella stevensii
Lineage: Bacteria; Pseudomonadati; Pseudomonadota; Gammaproteobacteria; Oceanospirillales; Halomonadaceae
Description: partial 16S ribosomal RNA
Rfam family: Bacterial small subunit ribosomal RNA
Source: RNAcentral
CCUACGGGGCGCAGCAGUGGGGAAUAUUGGACAAUGGGCGAAAGCCUGAUCCAGCCAUGCCGCGUGUGUGAAGAAGGCCUUCGGGUUGUAAAGCACUUUCAGUGGGGAAGAAAGCCUUGGGGCUAAUACCCUCGAGGAAGGACAUCACCCACAGAAGAAGCACCGGCUAACUCCGUGCCAGCAGCCGCGGUAAUACGGAGGGUGCGAGCGUUAAUCGGAAUUACUGGGCGUAAAGCGCGCGUAGGCGGUCUGAUAAGCCGGUUGUGAAAGCCCCGGGCUCAACCUGGGAACGGCAUCCGGAACUGUCAGGCUAGAGUGCAGGAGAGGAAGGUAGAAGUCCCGGUGUAGCGGUGAAAUGCGUAGAGAUCGGGAGGAAUACCAGUGGCGAAGGCGGCCUUCUGGACUGACACUGACGCUGAGGUGCGAAAGCGUGGGUAGCAAACAGGAUUAGAUACCCCUGUAGUC